This 652-nucleotide ribosomal RNA is filed under the name Enterobacter cloacae. RNAcentral's name for it is "bacterial SSU rRNA". It matches the Rfam family "Bacterial small subunit ribosomal RNA", at positions 30 to 673 of the family's 1533-position model. The record is from RNAcentral. Lineage: Bacteria; Pseudomonadati; Pseudomonadota; Gammaproteobacteria; Enterobacterales; Enterobacteriaceae.
UGAACGCUGGCGGCAGGCCUAACACAUGCAAGUCGAACGGUAGCACAGAGAGCUUGCUCUCGGGUGACGAGUGGCGGACGGGUGAGUAAUGUCUGGGAAACUGCCUGAUGGAGGGGGAUAACUACUGGAAACGGUAGCUAAUACCGCAUAAUGUCGCAAGACCAAAGAGGGGGACCUUCGGGCCUCUUGCCAUCAGAUGUGCCCAGAUGGGAUUAGCUAGUAGGUGGGGUAACGGCUCACCUAGGCGACGAUCCCUAGCUGGUCUGAGAGGAUGACCAGCCACACUGGAACUGAGACACGGUCCAGACUCCUACGGGAGGCAGCAGUGGGGAAUAUUGCACAAUGGGCGCAAGCCUGAUGCAGCCAUGCCGCGUGUAUGAAGAAGGCCUUCGGGUUGUAAAGUACUUUCAGCGGGGAGGAAGGUGUUGUGGUUAAUAACCGCAGCAAUUGACGUUACCCGCAGAAGAAGCACCGGCUAACUCCGUGCCAGCAGCCGCGGUAAUACGGAGGGUGCAAGCGUUAAUCGGAAUUACUGGGCGUAAAGCGCACGCAGGCGGUCUGUCAAGUCGGAUGUGAAAUCCCCGGGCUCAACCUGGGAACUGCAUUCGAAACUGGCAGGCUGGAGUCUUGUAGAGGGGGGUAGAAUUCCAGG